This is a long non-coding RNA of Homo sapiens (human), 342 nucleotides long. The record is from Ensembl. NCBI's taxonomy places the organism in Eukaryota, Metazoa, Chordata, Mammalia, Primates, Hominidae.
GCUCCCUCUGCAUCACAGAGGAGACAAGAACUACAUUUCCACAAAUUCCCAUUAGGAGGCACUUCGGUUGAGCUAUGAUUCCUUAUGGAUUUCACUGGCCCUGUCUUGUCUGCUCAUUUACCUGCUUAUGUCUUGCCCACACUUUUAGGAGAACUUAAGAGACUUUCCUAAGGAAGUCAAAGGAAAAGAAAGAAAGUUUCAGAUUACCUGAGGAGAGAAGAUGAUCAAAAUGGAAUGGAAAGGAUCAAAUAAAGAAGAGAGAUAUUUAAUCUAUAUAUUUAAUUAUAUAUACUUAUUUAUGAUAUUGUUCAUUGUUUUAUUUUACCACUUCACUAUUCUGCA